Long non-coding RNA from Hippopotamus amphibius kiboko, 529 nucleotides. RefSeq lists it as uncharacterized. The record is from RefSeq and is a predicted model, not a curated record. The transcript has 3 exons. Lineage: Eukaryota; Metazoa; Chordata; Mammalia; Artiodactyla; Hippopotamidae.
GAGAGAAGCCUGUCACACUGAAUGGUAUCCAGAUUAGAGCUGUGAGAAUUUGGGAAAACCCUUCUCGCUAAGCUCUUCCAUCAGAGAAAGGAGAGCAGGGCCAGUUGGACUUCAGACCUCAGACCACGCUUGGUUUUCUCAGGUUUCCCUGUACACAAAGGGAAAUUUUCCACAGAGGUCCAACCAGGAGGUACAGCCAGAUCUUGAAGUGGCCGCUGAGCCUGGCAUGUGAGCUUGGUUAUCUGUCCCCAGUGGGCCCUGUAUCAUCACCCAUUUGUGUUUCCCAUCCUGUUGGUGUUUUUUUCGCUGCUGAGGCAAUGCUUAGGUAUAAGAGAAAAAAAAAAGAAAUAUAAUCAAGAUGGUGUGGCCAAGCAAAGAAAAAGUGAAUAGUUUCAAGACCCAAGACAUUGUCUCCGGUGAAAAUGUGAAUGUGCCACCCUAGAUCUGCUGACACUCAACUGAUCCCAAGACACGUGAGCAAGGCCAGCUGAGGUAGAUGGACUCUAGGGUGACGACCAGUGAUUCCCAC